Molecule: ribosomal RNA, 504 nt
Filed under: Merelina taupoensis
Lineage: Eukaryota; Metazoa; Mollusca; Gastropoda; Littorinimorpha; Rissoidae
Description: partial 16S ribosomal RNA
Rfam family: Bacterial large subunit ribosomal RNA
Source: RNAcentral
AAACAUGGCUCUUUGAAACAAUUAAAUAUAAAGAGUCGUGCCUGCCCAGUGAAUUUUUUAACGGCCGCAGUACCCUGACUGUGCAAAGGUAGCAUAAUCAUUUGCUCUAUAAUUGAGGGCUAGAAUGAAAGGUCUGACAAGAACGAAACUGUCUCUAUUAAAUUACUCAUAACUUAAUAUUUAAGUGAAGAAGCUUAACUAAAAUUAAAAGACGAGAAGACCCCGUCGAGCUUAAAAGUAUUUAUAAAACUCCAAAACUUAUAACUUCUUUUUGGUUGGGGCGACCAAGGAAUCAACAAAUCUUCCUAAUUUAUUUAUCAAACUAUCAGACCCAGUACAACUGACUAAUAGAACAAGCUACCGCAGGGAUAACAGCAUAAUUUUCUUUAAGAGCCCUUAUCAAAAAGAAAUCUUGUGACCUCGAUGUUGGACUAAAAUCUCCUAAAUGAUGCAGAAGUCUUUUAUGGUUGGUCUGUUCGACCAUUAAAAUUUUACAUGAUCUGA